Micropterus dolomieu (smallmouth bass) is the source of this 918-nucleotide long non-coding RNA. RefSeq lists it as uncharacterized. Lineage: Eukaryota; Metazoa; Chordata; Actinopteri; Centrarchiformes; Centrarchidae. The transcript is spliced from 5 exons. The record is from RefSeq and is a predicted model, not a curated record.
GCUUCCUGUGCUUUGACGCUCACAGACGUUUACGGUGUUCCGUACAGGCUGCUAACGGUAAUCCAUUUUUGAGCUGUUUAUUUCUUUUAACGGAAGAGUAUACUAUUGAAAUCUAUAAGAAAGACAACAUUUAUGGCAAAGUGUCACUUCCUCCACCCCAGCGCACUCGAAGUGGAACCACAGUUGGCAAAGGUCACACUGCACCCAUUCGUCAAUGGCCCCAUCUCCUGAGCCAGGUGGGACCACUCUACUGCAGACAGCGCAGUGUUCCCCAUCUUCCUCAGUUGGAGAUGGUGCCUGUUUCUUCUGCCUUUUGGUCUCCUGUGCUUGUCUGUUUUCCACCUUCUUUGCCAUAUUCACAUAUACACCAGCAGGUGAACGUACUCGUCACUGGUGAUGACACGGGCUGGCAGCGGAAGGCGACGCCUUACCUUCUCCUUCCUGUCCAAGGCUGGGCUCAUGAGUACGUUGGCCAGACUUUCCGGAAUGACACCUGCUGCCACCAGCAGUUGCACUGGAUGGCGUGGCUGAGGGAGUGACGGGAGUGAUGGAUGGCGUGGCAUCCCUUCGGUCAGCAGAUGGGAGCACUCUCACCACUCUCACCACCAAAACCCCCCUGGACAGAGGACAGAUGCCUGCCUUGCAGAACCCAACCUUAAUAUUUUGGGCAGUGACAGCAGUGGGGUAGGCAUUCCUCAGCAGAGAAGAAAACUGCUUCUUCCCGACCACAAGAUCCCCUCGCACUAGACCCAUCCUGGAAGCCAUGGUGGAGAAAGCAGUCUUGAGGGGAUUAAAGACAGCAAUAUCCAGGGGCUGUAGGAUGUGUGUGGUGUGGGCAGGAACAACACGAGAUGCAAGCCAACCUUCCGUGACCUCCCAGUGAACCUGCUAGUGGAUGACUGACAUCUUCAAAACCUG